UGCUUAUUGAGAAAGACGGAGGGAUUAGACCCUGCGAAGUCUUGGCAACCUGUGCUUACAAGGUGCUACAUUCUACCUGAUUCAAUAUCGGGAAAGAUAAGCA
This 103-nucleotide non-coding RNA is filed under the name Sphingobacterium spiritivorum. Its description in RNAcentral is "Sphingobacterium sp. SAM-I sequence". It matches the Rfam family "SAM riboswitch aptamer (S box leader)". From Rfam's summary of the family: The SAM riboswitch is found upstream of a number of genes which code for proteins involved in methionine or cysteine biosynthesis in Gram-positive bacteria. The SAM riboswitch acts at the level of transcription termination control. The predicted structure consists of a complex stem-loop region followed by a single stem loop terminator region. The record is from RNAcentral. RNAcentral also lists the same sequence under 1 other name. Lineage: Bacteria; Pseudomonadati; Bacteroidota; Sphingobacteriia; Sphingobacteriales; Sphingobacteriaceae.